GACGAACGCUGGCGGCGUGCUUAACACAUGCAAGUCGAGCGGUAAGGCCCUUUCGGGGGUACACGAGCGGCGAACGGGUGAGUAACACGUGGGUGACCUGCCUUUAGCUCUGGGAUAAGCCUGGGAAACUGGGUCUAAUACCGGAUAUGACCCUAUGGCGCAUGUUGUGGGGUGGAAAGCCUUGUGCGGCUAGGGAUGGGCCCGCGGCCUAUCAGCUUGUUGGUGGGGUGAUGGCCUACCAAGGCGACGACGGGUAGCCGGCCUGAGAGGGCGACCGGCCACACUGGGACUGAGACACGGCCCACGACUCCUACGGGAGGCAGCAGUGGGGAAGUCUUGCGCAAUGGGCGAAAGCCUGACGCAGCGACGCCGCGUGAGGGAUGACGG
This 387-nucleotide ribosomal RNA is filed under the name uncultured bacterium. Its description in RNAcentral is "bacterial SSU rRNA". It matches the Rfam family "Bacterial small subunit ribosomal RNA", at positions 28 to 414 of the family's 1533-position model. The record is from RNAcentral.